AGCGGCGGACGGGUGAGUAACACGUGGGUAACCUGCCCAAGAGACUGGGAUAACACCUGGAAACAGAUGCUAAUACCGGAUAACAACACCAGACGCAUGUCUAGAGUUUGAAAGAUGGUUCUGCUAUCACUCUUGGAUGGACCUGCGGUGCAUUAGCUAGUUGGUAAGGUAACGGCUUACCAAGGCAAUGAUGCAUAGCCGAGUUGAGAGACUGAUCGGCCACAUUGGGACUGAGACACGGCCCAAACUCCUACGGGGGGCAGCAGUAGGGAAUCUUCCACAAUGGACGAAAGUCUGAUGGAGCAACGCCGCGUGAGUGAAGAAGGGUUUCGGCUCGUAAAGCUCUGUUGCGGGGGAAAAAAGGCAGCUAUCAGGAAAUGGGUGCUGACUGAUGGUGCCCCGCCAGAAAGUCACGGCUAACUACGUGCCAGCAGCCGCGGUAAUACGUAGCGUGGCGAGCGUUAUCCGGAAUGGUUGGGCGUAAAGGGUGCGCAGGCGGUCAUGCAAGUCUGGAGUGAAACGCAUGAGCUCAAGUCAUGCAUGGCUUUGGAAACUGGAGGACUGGAGAGCAGGAGAGGGCGGUGGAAUUCCAUGUGUAGCGGUAAAAUGCGUAGAUAUAUGGAAGAACACCAGUGGGGAAGGCGGCCGCCUGGCCUGUUGCUGACGCUGAGGCACGAAAGCGUGGGGAGCAAAUAGGAUUAGAUACCCUAGUAGUCCACGCCGUAAACGAUGAGGACCAAGUGUUGGGGGUGAAACCUCAGUGCUGAAGUUAACGCAGUGAGUCCUCCGCCUGGGGAGUAUGCACGCAAGUGUGAAACUCAAAGGAAUUGACGGGGGCCCGCACAAGCGGUGGAGUAUGUGGUUUAAUUCGAAGCAACGCGAAGAACCUUACCAGGCCUUGACAUGGGAUGCGAAGAUGCAGAGAUGCAUCGGAGGUCAACAUCCACANCAGGUGGUGCAUGGUUGUCGUCAGCUCGUGUCGUGAGAUGUUGGGUCAAGUCCCGCAACGAGCGCAACCCUUGUGGCAUGUUGCUAACAGGAAAAGCUGAGGACUCAUGCCAGACUGCCGGUGACAAACCGGAGGAAGGCGGGGAUGACGUCAAAUCAUCAUGCCCCUUAUGGCCUGGGCUACACACGUACUACAAUGGCGGCUACAAAGAGCAGCGAGACAGGGAUGUCGAGCGAAUCUCAUAAAAGCCGUCCCAGUUCGGAUUGGAGGCUGCAACCCGCCUCCAUGAAGUUGGAAUCGCUAGUAAUCGCGGAUCAGCAUGCCGCGGUGAAUACGUUCCCGGGUCUUGUACUCACCGCCCGUCAA
RNAcentral lists this ribosomal RNA (1315 nucleotides) under uncultured bacterium. Its description in RNAcentral is "bacterial SSU rRNA". It matches the Rfam family "Bacterial small subunit ribosomal RNA", at positions 94 to 1400 of the family's 1533-position model. The record is from RNAcentral.